UGCUUGCUUCAGCAGCACAUAUAUUAAAUUAGAAUAAUACAGAGAAGAUUAACAUGGCCCUUGCACAAGAAUGGCACAUACAUUCUCAAAGCAUUCUAUAUUUUA
Molecule: small nuclear RNA, 105 nt
Filed under: Naja naja (Indian cobra)
Lineage: Eukaryota; Metazoa; Chordata; Lepidosauria; Squamata; Elapidae
Source: RNAcentral